Vicia faba (fava bean) is the source of this 210-nucleotide non-coding RNA. The record is from the annotation of a GenBank genome assembly. Lineage: Eukaryota; Viridiplantae; Streptophyta; Magnoliopsida; Fabales; Fabaceae.
AUGUUAACCAAUCAAACCCAAUUCAAGAAAUCUCUCUCAUUCAUUACAUCAAACACCUCAUCUACAUUACUAAGAAACAAAACAUUGAAUUCAGCCUUAAUUUCUCUUCACAGGAUCAAUAACAUUGCACACCAAAAGGAUAUUUUUGUUAGAACUGAAGGGCUUCAUGGACAUUUCACUUUUGAAAAAAAAAUGUUUCAAAUGCCUUAA